CAUUAAUACAUGUUGAGUGUGCUUUNAUUGCGNACUCUUUGUAUNAUCAUUACCCCCCAANNCCCAGAGGUGCAUUGUGGCUUUGCAAAAAGUUAGCAGUGUAUCAGUACGUAUUACAAAGUCUGACUUUGNUUUUACAUUACAUAUAAGUUACCCCCUAUUUACACUUAAGAAGUUUUAAGAAUGAUACCCUAUAAUUAUAUAACUUUCAGCAAUGGAUCUCUAGGCUCUCACGUCGAUGAAGAACACAGUGAAAUGUGAUACGUAAUGUGAAUUGCAGAAUUCAGUGAAUCAUCGAAUCUUUGAACGCACCUUGCACCUUUUGGUUAUUCCGAAAGGUACGCCUGUUUGAAUGUCACGAAACCCCCCUCGGCUUUAACACUUUCUAAAAGGGUUAUUGACGGAUUCUGAGUGUUGGCGUGUCAACGCCUCGCUUUAAAUAUAUCAGCACUUUUGGACGNGUUMCAUGUUAGUUCAAAAGACGUACUUGAUGUCGUAUUUAUACAAUUCAUCGAGAUGGUCUUUGGUCGUAUCGACUAUCCGCUAAUGUNGAAAACUUGAAGAAUAGCUUCCUAACCCCAAUCGAAUUUANNNCCUUUAGACUUCAAAUCAGGUGGGACUACCCGCUGAACUUAANNNGCAUAUCAAUAAGCGGAGGAAAAGAAAAUAACUAUGAUUCCCUUAGUAACGGCGAGUGAACAGGGAAAAGCCCAAAUUUGUAAUCUGGCAUCUUUUNACAGAUGUCCG
Molecule: ribosomal RNA, 747 nt
Filed under: Melampsora paradoxa
Lineage: Eukaryota; Fungi; Basidiomycota; Pucciniomycetes; Pucciniales; Melampsoraceae
Description: eukaryotic LSU rRNA
Source: RNAcentral